AUUAGAGGAAGUAAAAGUCGUAACAAGGUUUCCGUAGGUGAACCUGCGGAAGGAUCAUUACCGGGAGAGGAGGCACCGCCUCUGGAGGGCUUCGGCGCUCCAACCCUUCACCCUCUGCCUACAUACCCACGUUGCUUUGGCGGGUCCCGGGCUCCGUCCCGCCUCGGUCUCGGGGUUUCGCCGCCCUCGACCUGGGAGUAUCCGUCGGAGGCCUUAUGACAUUCUGCUUCUAUCUGUGACGUCCGAGCGGUGGGUAUAAUUGUCCAAACACUUUCAACAACGGAUCUCUUGGUUCCAGCAUCGAUGAAGAACGCAGCGAAAUGCGAUAAGUAAUGUGAAUUGCAGAAUUCAGUGAAUCAUCGAAUCUUUGAACGCACAUUGCGCCCCUCGGUAUUCCGGGGGGCAUGCCUGUUCGAGCGUCAUUGCACCCCUCAAGCGUUGGCUUGGUACUGGGUCUCGCCCCCGUGGUGAACCUGAAAGGCGUUGGCGGUCCGGCGUAGAUUCCGAGCGUAGUAAACCGUCUCCCGCUCCGGACGUUGCGCUGCGGCUGGCCAGAACAACCCCCUAUCGAUGUUCAAUGAUUGACCUCGGAUCAGGUAGGGAUACCCGCUGAACUUAAGCAUAUC
This 626-nucleotide ribosomal RNA is filed under the name Protoparmelia sp. KE. RNAcentral describes it as "eukaryotic LSU rRNA". The stretch from base 269 to 422 matches the Rfam family "5.8S ribosomal RNA". Lineage: Eukaryota; Fungi; Ascomycota; Lecanoromycetes; Lecanorales; Parmeliaceae. The record is from RNAcentral.